Molecule: ribosomal RNA, 1371 nt
Filed under: uncultured bacterium
Lineage: Bacteria
Description: bacterial SSU rRNA
Rfam family: Bacterial small subunit ribosomal RNA
Source: RNAcentral
GAUGAACGCUGGCGGCGUGCCUAAUACAUGCAAGUCGAGCGAACGGACGAGAAGCUUGCUUCUCUGAUGUUAGCGGCGGACGGGUGAGUAACACGUGGAUAACCUACCUAUAAGACUGGGAUAACUUCGGGAAACCGGAGCUAAUACCGGAUAAUAUUUUGAACCGCAUGGUUCAAAAGUGAAAGACGGUCUUGCUGUCACUUAUAGAUGGAUCCGCGCUGCAUUAGCUAGUUGGUAAGGUAACGGCUUACCAAGGCAACGAUGCAUAGCCGACCUGAGAGGGUGAUCGGCCACACUGGAACUGAGACACGGUCCAGACUCCUACGGGAGGCAGCAGUAGGGAAUCUUCCGCAAUGGGCGAAAGCCUGACGGAGCAACGCCGCGUGAGUGAUGAAGGUCUUCGGAUCGUAAAACUCUGUUAUUAGGGAAGAACAUAUGUGUAAGUAACUGUGCACAUCUUGACGGUACCUAAUCAGAAAGCCACGGCUAACUACGUGCCAGCAGCCGCGGUAAUACGUAGGUGGCAAGCGUUAUCCGGAAUUAUUGGGCGUAAAGCGCGCGUAGGCGGUUUUUUAAGUCUGAUGUGAAAGCCCACGGCUCAACCGUGGAGGGUCAUUGGAAACUGGAAAACUUGAGUGCAGAAGAGGAAAGUGGAAUUCCAUGUGUAGCGGUGAAAUGCGCAGAGAUAUGGAGGAACACCAGUGGCGAAGGCGACUUUCUGGUCUGUAACUGACGCUGAUGUGCGAAAGCGUGGGGAUCAAACAGGAUUAGAUACCCUGGUAGUCCACGCCGUAAACGAUGAGUGCUAAGUGUUAGGGGGUUUCCGCCCCUUAGUGCUGCAGCUAACGCAUUAAGCACUCCGCCUGGGAGUACGACCGCAAGGUUGAAACUCAAAGGAAUUGACGGGGACCCGCACAAGCGGUGGAGCAUGUGGUUUAAUUCGAAGCAACGCGAAGAACCUUACCAAAUCUUGACAUCCUUUGACAACUCUAGAGAUAGAGCCUUCCCCUUCGGGGGACAAAGUGACAGGUGGUGCAUGGUUGUCGUCAGCUCGUGUCGUGAGAUGUUGGGUUAAGUCCCGCAACGAGCGCAACCCUUAAGCUUAGUUGCCAUCAUUAAGUUGGGCACUCUAAGUUGACUGCCGGUGACAAACCGGAGGAAGGUGGGGAUGACGUCAAAUCAUCAUGCCCCUUAUGAUUUGGGCUACACACGUGCUACAAUGGACAAUACAAAGGGCAGCGAAACCGCGAGGUCAAGCAAAUCCCAUAAAGUUGUUCUCAGUUCGGAUUGUAGUCUGCAACUCGACUACAUGAAGCUGGAAUCGCUAGUAAUCGUAGAUCAGCAUGCUACGGUGAAUACGUUCCCGGGUCU